ACAAACUUGGUCAUUUAGAGGAAGUAGAAGUCGUAACAAGGUUUCCGUAGGUGAACCUGCGGAAGGAUCAUUGUCGAAUCCUGCCUAGCAGACCAACGCGAACAAGUUAACAAAUUGCGGGCUGCGGACGGGAUGAGGGAGACCUCUAACGUCAGCGCUCGCACCCAACUAAAACUCUCGGCGCGGGAUGCGCCAAGGAUUACUGAAAACAGAUUGCUUACACCUCUGCGGCUUCCGUGGUGUGUGCAAAGCGUCUGAUGGUUUAACAAAAAUGACUCUCGGCAACGGAUAUCUCGGCUCUCGCAUCGAUGAAGAACGCAGC
RNAcentral lists this unclassified non-coding RNA (322 nucleotides) under uncultured fungus. RNAcentral describes it as "partial contains small subunit ribosomal RNA, internal transcribed spacer 1, and 5.8S ribosomal RNA". The stretch from base 1 to 73 matches the Rfam family "Eukaryotic small subunit ribosomal RNA", at positions 1759 to 1831 of the family's 1831-position model. Lineage: Eukaryota; Fungi. The record is from RNAcentral.